This 533-nucleotide unclassified non-coding RNA is filed under the name unidentified. RNAcentral describes it as "sequence contains 28S rRNA gene". It matches the Rfam family "Eukaryotic large subunit ribosomal RNA", at positions 106 to 655 of the family's 3401-position model. The record is from RNAcentral.
AGCUCAAAUUUAUAAUCUGGCACCUUCGGUGUCCGAGUUGUAAUCUCUAGAAAUGUUUUCCGCGUUGGACCGCACACAAGUCUGUUGGAAUACAGCGGCAUAGUGGUGAGACCCCCGUAUAUGGUGCGGACGCCCAGCGCUUUGUGAUACAUUUUCGAAGAGUCGAGUUGUUUGGGAAUGCAGCUCAAAUUGGGUGGUAAAUUCCAUCUAAAGCUAAAUAUUGGCGAGAGACCGAUAGCGAACAAGUACCGUGAGGGAAAGAUGAAAAGCACUUUGGAAAGAGAGUUAACAGUACGUGAAAUUGUUGGAAGGGAAACGCUUGAAGUCAAACUUGCUUGCCGAGCAAUCGGUUUGCAGGCCAGCAUCAGUUUUCCGGGAUGGAUAAUGGUAGAGAGAAGGUAGCAGUUUCGGCUGUGUUAUAGCUCUCUGCUGGAUACAUCUUGGGGGACUGAGGAACGCAGUGUGCCUUUGGCGGGGGUUUCGACCUCUUCACACUUAGGAUGCUGGUGGAAUGGCUUUAAACGACCCGUCUU